GAGCUAUACGGGUGCUUUAAGAGCAUGUGGCAGAUCAAAAAAUUAUUUGAUUGGGAAAAAGAACUGCUAUGGCUUGUUUUUGGUUUGGUGAGGUAAUCUCCGACGCGAUGUAUAGUUUGUCCAACCCCCACCAAAGGUAUCAUUUGGACUCAUCAAAUUGGCCUGCAAAUGUGGAACCUCAGCACCAUUGAACGUUCCCAAACCAAUCAUUUUCCUGGACAGCUGUAACGGUGGAUCGAAGUUGAAUUCCGGACGUUGCUCGGCUGCUUUGGAGACGCGAGAUAUUUCCGGAUCAUGGAUGCCAAUAUUGGCGAUCCUAUUCACCAAAGUGUCAAUCACCGGUUGAUCUACUCCAGAGCAGGGAAGCUCCGUAGCUAAAACCUUAUUAACGGUUCGAAGUUCGAAGUAAUCCGGGAUUCAAUCCUACCUUAGACCAACCUUGCGUGCUCAUCAAGGGAUGGUGAGCCACCGGUGGUGGUUUUAACAUGGCAUUCGGAAUGCUGCUUUUGAAUUCGGGAGUUUCCCAUAAACAUUCGAGACGAAGAGGCGAGAACAAAUUCCGAACAUUGGGUGGAACAGCUUGGGCCUGGCCAAUAACUUCAUCUGGAUUCGACGUUAUUUGUGGGCCCGUUCUUGUACCCUCAGGCUUUGAACCUGCUGAUUUUUGCUCGCGUGGCUGCUUCCGAAUAGCUCCCGUGUUAACUACCUUAGUGGUCGUUUCCUUCGGAGUUCCUUGAGGACAAUCGAGAGCCUGUCCCUCUUCAACGAAACUUAUUAACUCCUCAUUCUGCGGCGGAUUAGACAUCAUCGUCACACGAGUCCUAACAGGAGUUUCCGUCAUUGACUUCU
This is a long non-coding RNA of Armigeres subalbatus, 849 nucleotides long. RefSeq lists it as uncharacterized. The transcript has 4 exons. NCBI's taxonomy places the organism in Eukaryota, Metazoa, Arthropoda, Insecta, Diptera, Culicidae. The record is from RefSeq and is a predicted model, not a curated record.